CGCCCGUCACACCACGAGAGUUUGUAACACCCGAAGUCGGUGAGGUAACCUUUUGGAGCCAGCCGCCGAAGGUGGGAUAGAUGAUUGGGGUGAAGUCGUAACAAGGUAGCCGUAUCGGAAGGUGCGGCUGGAUCACCUCCUUUCUAAGGAUUUUUCGGAAUCAUUCCCUUGGGGAAUGAAACAUUAACGGUUGCUGUUCAGUUUUGAAGGUUCAUUCUUAAAUGAAUGAAAUACUUCAAAACAUUCGUUCUUUGAAAACUGGAUAAAACGACAUUGAAAGCAAUAAAUCAAAUUUCUAUUUUAUAGAUUUUUAAACAAGUCAAGCAAUUGACGUGUAAACUUAAAUCUUGGAUUUUUUCCAAGUGUUAACUUUUGGUUAAGUUAAUAAGGGCGCACGGUGGAUGCCUUGGCACUAGGAGUCGAUGAACGACAGAA
This 435-nucleotide unclassified non-coding RNA is filed under the name Solibacillus isronensis. RNAcentral describes it as "contains 16S-23S intergenic spacer region". The stretch from base 1 to 143 matches the Rfam family "Bacterial small subunit ribosomal RNA", at positions 1391 to 1533 of the family's 1533-position model. The record is from RNAcentral. Lineage: Bacteria; Bacillati; Bacillota; Bacilli; Caryophanales; Caryophanaceae.